RNAcentral lists this ribosomal RNA (86 nucleotides) under Ancylomarina euxina. Lineage: Bacteria; Pseudomonadati; Bacteroidota; Bacteroidia; Marinilabiliales; Marinifilaceae. The record is from RNAcentral.
CACCUCUUCCCAUCCCGAACAGAGAAGUUAAGCCCAUUAGCGCCGAUGGUACUGCCGAAAGGUGGGAGAGUAGGUCGAUGCCGACC